CUCGUUGGUGACCAGCGG
This 18-nucleotide ribosomal RNA is filed under the name Knoxdaviesia capensis. RNAcentral describes it as "partial 18S ribosomal RNA". The record is from RNAcentral. Lineage: Eukaryota; Fungi; Ascomycota; Sordariomycetes; Microascales; Gondwanamycetaceae.